UUUUUAGAUUAUCAGAAACUGAAGACCCACCUGUGAAGUUUGAAAUCUCACCAUUAGUUUCUUACUUUGGGGAGGGACUUGAAGUAUACUUGAAGGACAGAAAAUUCCACUCUCCAUUUGUGUUGGAUGAGAACAUGGCACAAGAAUUGCUGAAUGCGUAAAUAAGUAGAUGAAUCCCUGAAGAGGAUGUGGAGACAAUACGAAGAUAAAAGUGCUUUACAGUAAAAAGUGCUGAAGUAUGUUCAUAUCGUAAAACUUAAAGUACAGAGGCAACAACAUUCCAAAACUAGACCAAAGAUGGACUGUUCAGUGCAGCAAAUCUACUUCAUGUGCCAAGAUAUUAUGAAUGUUUCCUGCAAAUUUCAUAUCUAUAUGGGGCAUUUUUAUGCUUAUAUUAAAACCUGCUGUGGGAGAAUUACA
Molecule: long non-coding RNA, 420 nt
Organism: Protopterus annectens (West African lungfish)
Lineage: Eukaryota; Metazoa; Chordata; Ceratodontiformes; Protopteridae
Exons: 2
Source: RefSeq, a predicted model, not a curated record